Perca flavescens (yellow perch) is the source of this 1586-nucleotide long non-coding RNA. RefSeq lists it as uncharacterized. NCBI's taxonomy places the organism in Eukaryota, Metazoa, Chordata, Actinopteri, Perciformes, Percidae. The record is from RefSeq and is a predicted model, not a curated record. The transcript is spliced from 3 exons.
AGAGGAGGGGGGGGUGGGAGGACCAUGCGAGACCAGCCAGACGCACAGCGAGAUGCAACAACACGGGGAUAAACACCGAAGAUCCAACUAGGACUCAAGCUUCAUGUCUAAUUCUCCUAAAAUGACUUUAAUCUUCAGUCUGGGGCCGUUUGUAAAUACUGAAAAGCCUGUAUUUCGGGAUUGACGCGUCCAGUAUCCACAUCUCUGCUUGUAAACACUUUAUUAACGGCGAAUUGAACAAGCUUUCAACUCUGAUGUGAGAUAUUGGGAGCGCGUCCAGUCAUCGAUCAUCUGCCCCCGGUGCCAGAAAUGGUGUCAUAACAUGAUAAUGCGGCUUCACACAUUCGGCGGUGAUUCCUGCGGUAAAACCUGAGCGGUGGGAUCCGUUGGGACAAAUGUACAGGCAUGAAAUGACUAUCAAAGCCUCCUGCAGACCGGCCGGUGAGGCUCCGAGGCGCGGACAGCAGAGAAGCCACGAAGCCGCGCAGGAGCAAUGGACUUUUACGCACAGAGAUACCGGAUCAAAUAAUAAACUGGGUUGACUUGUACUCGUCGAAUUACUUGAUUCAAUUAUUUAUUGGUCAGAGAACGACUGUCCGAGCCUUUGUGGUUGCCUGUCUGUGUGGAGCCACUGGCUGCCCGAGGUUUCAAACUGAGGUCAAACUUUUUGCAGCUCUGCGCCCAAACGUGUUGGGAUCUGCAGAAGGCCACCGAGUCUCUCUGCUUUGUGUCACCGCUGCAGCACACAGGCAGACAGAUAAACCUUCUGCAAAGUUUUCACAGCUCAUCUAAUUAUAUGAAACUACUAGUAUAUUAUCGCCUGUCAGAAUAUCCAGCCGGAUUCAUUAAGGGUGCAUUUAGGCGCUGUGAGCUCAGUCUAGGAAAAGGCGCUCGGCUUUGUACGAGUAAAUGGUUUCUCUUGCCUCGAAGAUUUAUUUUAAAAGUUAGUGUAAAACCCAGUGUCACAUGUUAAAGGCAUGUAGUAUAGCCUGAUUCUCCAUCGUCGUUUACAAACUGUUGUAACGUGUAGCAAAGGGUGACAUUAUUUUGAAUACAGUUUGUCUCUGUAAUAGAUAAUUGUAAAAUGAUGAUAAGGUGUUUGCGAAAGUUUGAUGAUUAAAGAAAAAGAAUGGCACUAAUAUUAACGAGUGUUCAAUCACAUGGCACCGAAAACAUCCUGGUUAAUAGGCUACUAUGGCGUGUGUUUAAUGGUGUAAAAGCAUUGCUUUGGUAUAAUGGCAAUAAUAUAGGCUAAUGUUUCGCAAUAUUAAUUUUAAACCAUGAAAUCAGUUACAGUGUGUACCAGGGGUAACGCUUUCCUCUGGGAGUUUUCACUUCUGUUGCAUCCCGCAGUUUGGCCCCCAUGUUAAUCUGAGCUGCUCUCGUCUCUCACACACAUUAAUGCUUAAUCAUUUGCGCCUUCUACCGGACCUGUUGGAAAUUACAUGAGCUGCAGAAAGGCAGAGGAAGAGUUUUGCUCAGAUAAUUAAGAUAAAAAGCAACCCCGCAAAAUAAAUCGACCGUUAAACUUUGUGUGUACUUCUGUUGGAUUGUCGGCCUUUUUUAUCUUUUCCAGCAUGCUGGAA